This 199-nucleotide long non-coding RNA is filed under the name Dasypus novemcinctus (nine-banded armadillo). RNAcentral's name for it is "lncRNA (ENSDNOG00000051362.1)". The record is from RNAcentral. Lineage: Eukaryota; Metazoa; Chordata; Mammalia; Cingulata; Dasypodidae.
GAGGACUCCCACCCCAUAAAAUGACAGACAGUAAGAUCACUGGGACCUUGGCUUUUGCUGUCUUCACUGCGGUGCUGAGUUCCUUCAAGUGUGGAUAUGACCUUUAUGUGAUCAACGCACCUCAAGAGGCAAGUGAAACACCUAAGUUCUUUUCGGCAACUGCAAUCAGUGACUGAAAAAUUUCACCUGUUCUUUGGAC